AAGCCUCCCAAAAUUUCCCUCCCAUCUCUAUAAGUUUCAGAUCUGAAAUUUGAGACCUAAGCUACAAAUUCUUCCCAAAAAGUCCUUCUCCUUGAGUUUCAUAUCUGAAAUACCAAAUUUCUACUUCAAAAAAAUCAAAAAUCAAACAAAACAAACAAAACUUUCACAAAAAAUAAAAAUAUCUACUGUUUCAUUGGAAUAAUUUCAGCUUUUUAGAUACUGAGUUGCAUUUCCUAGUUAUUAUUUGCUUGCUGAAAUUUUGGGGUUCAUUAGACAAGAUUCAAGUGAUUCUGGGUUAAUUUGAGUAGUUCUACUUGAUUUCAACACAUUUAUGGAUAAUGUGCUUGUUUCUGGGUUUAAGCUUAGUAUGACUUUGGGCUGUUGAAUUCGAAUUGCUGCUGUUAGCCCUUCCUGCUUUGACUGACUUCUUUUCUUCAUUAUAAUAUCAAAUUCAGGUACACAUCUCAAGUCUGUUUCAAUGUAACUCUCCUGAUGGGAAAUGCAAUGAAGCUACAGUUUAUAUUAAUCCCUCUUCUGUUAUGUUUGAGUAUUUCUGUGUACCACGUAGUAUGAUUUAGUUGAUUGUUAGUGUAGUUAAAUGUAAUUGGAGUUGGACUGUGUUGCAUGAUGUUAACUGUAGCUUUUGGACCACAAAUUUUACAUGUGAAGUGUUAGCUGUAGAAUGGAGUUCCGGUGAUAAUGAAUCAGUAAUUGACUAAAAUUGUUAGUUAAUGAUUGUUGGUUUUUAAACUAUAAUUCUGGAAUUUCAAAGUGGAACCUGGAUAGUAAUGAGAUUGUUUAGACCUGCUUGAUUAUGUGAAUUGAAGUCAGUAGGUGAAAUGAGACUUUUGUGAUUAUUAAAUUAUAAAUUGUUCUUAGUCAUUGUAUAAAGUAGUUUCGUUUUGUUAAUUGAUAUUGAAAUCAACAGCCCCCCUUAAUUAGCAGUUUGUUUGCUUAAAAGUAUGGGAUUAAGCUCAUGAUUGAACAUUGAUUUGGUACUGAAAAUUAAUUAGUUUAGUUAGUGUAUUAAAUCCAGUGUUUUCGAUUACUAGUGAAAUUCGUAUUUGAUAAUCUGUUAGUGAUUAAGCCCAUAGGAAGCCUCGUAAUUUUCUUUGGGAAUCGAUGCUCUUAUGGACAAGCAAAGGGGUGGGCUAUUCACGCCGGCUGGGAUUCGAACCCAAGCCCUUGGCUGGAGAUGAGCUUCAUGUUAUGCUUGCGUUUGGGCCACCAUUUGACCCAUGUGGAUUGAGACUGCUUCGAAGAUGCAAUUCAAGAUUAAAUUGUUAUAUAAAAUUGGGGUUUUGAGUUAGUUAGCGGGUUUUUAAAUUAAAAGGUUCUUCCUUUUGUUUGGAUCCGGGCUUGAACUUUAAACCCGAGUUCUCAUUAUAAGCAAUUAGGAAUUUUUCUUUUCUUUUAGAGACAAAAACAAAAAUAGAAAAAUAUAGUUAUCUUAUAAGUUUAUCCUUUAAAAUAAAAUGAGAUGAGCGUCGCCAAAGAAAAACAACAAUUGCGGGGCCCCCAAUAAAGAUUUAAAAUAUUUUAGAAAUCGGGAAGGGCUGUAGCGAAUUUCAUGGCCCUUCCAAAAGAUUACAACGCGCUAGAUUCUAUUAGGCGCGACUUUAAUAAAUUACAUUCCUAAAUACGGGUGGGCGUUUUAUUCGGCCCAAAUCCAAAUCCUAAAACGUUGAAUAGAGUGUGUCUAGAAUUGCAAGUUCAUUUGAUGCGGCACAAUCCGAAAAUACAUUUUAAAUGACGUUCACUUUCUUAAAGAAAUAUCAUAUUAAAUAAAAGCAGUAAAAAAAAUAAAAACUGGCACAUAGGCUCUUCAUGUAAUAAAAUCAGACAAAAGCUAAACGCAACAGUUGAGCGAUCGUGCUAGAACCACAGAACUCGGGAAUGCCUAAUACCUUCUCAUGGGUUAACAGAAUUCCUUAUCCGGUUUCCUGGUUCGCGGUCUGUUAACAGUCAUCUUUUUCCUCGGUUCGGGAUUCAACCGGUGACUUGGGACACCAUUAGUCUCCCAAGUGGAAACUUUGAAUCUUAAGAAAUAAAUCCCGUUUCGAUUGUCCUUUAAGUGGAAAACUCUUUUGCGCCCCUUUGCGGGGGUGUAUAGCGGAAAAGGAGGUGUGACAGCUCUUGCGACUCUGCUAGGGAUAAGAACCUAGAACAUUUUAUUCAGGGUUUAGAAUUCGAGCUUAGAAUAAUUGUUGUGUUUGGCUUUAUGAGAUUUUGUUACAUGAUAUGUGCUUAAUGUGCUAGUUGAUUGCUUUUACCGCUUUGAUAUUACGUGAACUGUAUAUAAACUGUGCC
Molecule: long non-coding RNA, 2310 nt
Filed under: Nicotiana benthamiana
Lineage: Eukaryota; Viridiplantae; Streptophyta; Magnoliopsida; Solanales; Solanaceae
Description: long non-coding RNA (NBEN_LNC009120)
Source: RNAcentral